AUUGUUUUUAAGAGAUUAUUAAUUAUAUAAUAAAUAAUUAAUAUUUAUUUAAUGGUAUAUUGGUUAAACCCCGGUUCGAUCCCAGUUGAACUUUAAACCCUUAACUUUCUACCUUCACCGGUUCAAUAACUAAGCCGAUUUUCAAAACCUUGGUUUAAACAUAUACAACAAAAAACAUUGAUUUGUUUAUAACUAGAUGAAGCCCUACAAAGCCAUGCUACCACAAAAAAAUUCAAAAUAACAUUAAGUUGUAGAGAUUUAAAAAAACUCAAGGGACCUGGACUUCCAAAAAGAAAGUAAACAUUCUUAGUUCAUUUGAUAUGAUUGGAACUAUAAUUUGCUCUUCAAUACAGUUAUUGAUAUAAACUAUUAAAAAGACCAUAAAUGGAUUAUGCAUGGUGGCAAGUGAAGCUCUAAAUAGUAUCUCUUAUUUCCAUCAUACUAUAUAGAUAAGACACAUAAUGAUUGUCAUUAAAAAAGCAUGGAAACAACAAAAGUCAGAAUUAAUAGGCACAAACCUUCUUGUUGAGAAAGUUAUCA
This 540-nucleotide unclassified non-coding RNA is filed under the name Hevea brasiliensis (rubber tree). Lineage: Eukaryota; Viridiplantae; Streptophyta; Magnoliopsida; Malpighiales; Euphorbiaceae. The record is from RNAcentral.